AACCAUAGAAACCUGCGGAGUACCUGCGGAGGGAUCAUUAAAGAUUGACCGAAAGGUCUUAUCUCUAUAUCCCUCACCUCUGUGAACUGUGGACCUCCGGGUCUAUUUAACAAACAUCAGUGUAAUGAACGUAUAUAUCAUUAAACAAAACAAAACUUUCAGCAACGGAUCU
Molecule: unclassified non-coding RNA, 172 nt
Filed under: soil metagenome
Description: partial contains 5.8S ribosomal RNA, internal transcribed spacer 2, and large subunit ribosomal RNA
Source: RNAcentral